Molecule: ribosomal RNA, 260 nt
Filed under: uncultured archaeon
Lineage: Archaea
Description: partial 16S ribosomal RNA
Rfam family: Archaeal small subunit ribosomal RNA
Source: RNAcentral
CAGCCGUAAACUAUGCUCGCUAGGUGUCAGGCAUGGCGCGACCGUGUCUGGUGCCGCAGGGAAGCCGUGAAGCGAGCCACCUGGGAAGUACGGCCGCAAGGCUGAAACUUAAAGGAAUUGGCGGGGGAGCACAACAACGGGUGGAGCCUGCGGUUUAAUUGGACUCAACACCGUAAACCCACCAGGGAAGACUGUUACAUGAAGGCCGAGAUGAAGACCCUGCAUGACUAGCUGAGAGGAGGUGCAUGGCGUCAGUGACU